RNAcentral lists this ribosomal RNA (477 nucleotides) under uncultured bacterium. RNAcentral describes it as "bacterial SSU rRNA". It matches the Rfam family "Bacterial small subunit ribosomal RNA", at positions 15 to 507 of the family's 1533-position model. The record is from RNAcentral.
GAUCAUGGCUCAGAACGAACGCUGGCGGCAGGCUUAACACAUGCAAGUCGAACGGACGUAGCAAUACGUUAGUGGCGCACGGGUGAGUAACGCGUGGAUAUCUGCCUUUUGGUCGGGAUAACCUUGGGAAACUAGGGCUAAUACCGAAUGGUUCCUACGGGAUAAAGAUUUAUCGCCAAAAGAUGAGUCCGCGUCCGAUUAGCUAGUUGGUGGGGUAAAGGCUCACCAAGGCGACGAUCGGUAGCUGGUCUGAGAGGACGACCAGCCACACGUGGGACUGAGACACCGGCCCAGACUCCGUACGGGAGGCAGCAGGUGGGGUAAUUUUGGACAAUGGGGGCAACCCUGAUCCAGCCAUGCCGCGUGCAGGAUGAAGGCCUUCGGGUUGUAAACUGCUUUUGUCAGGGACGAAAAGGACCGUGUUAAUACCAUGGUCUGCUGACGGUACCUGAAGAAUAAGCACCGGCUAACUACGUG